GCAUAUCUAAUAAAGCGGAGGAAAAGAAACCCAACAGAGAUUGCCCCUAGUAACGGCGAGUGAAGCGGCAACAGCUCAAAUUUGAAAUCUGGCGUCUUUGGCGUCCGAGUUGUAAUUUGCAGAGGGCGCUUUGGCAUUGGCAGCGGUCCAAGUUCCUUGGAACAGGACGUCACAGAGGGUGAGAAUCCCGUACGUGGUCGCUAGCCUUUACCGUGUAAAGCCCCUUCGACGAGUCGAGUUGUUUGGGAAUGCAGCUCUAAAUGGGAGGUAAAUUUCUUCUAAAGCUAAAUACUGGCCAGAGACCGAUAGCGCACAAGUAGAGUGAUCGAAAGAUGAAAAGCACUUUGGAAAGAGAGUUAAAAAGCACGUGAAAUUGUUGAAAGGGAAGCGCUUGCAGCCAGACUUGCCUGUAGUUGCUCAUCCGGGUUUUUACCCGGUGCACUCUUCUAUAGGCAGGCCAGCAUCAGUUUGGGCGGUUGGAUAAAGGUCUCUGUCACGUACCUCCUCUCGGGGAGAACUUAUAGGGGAGACGUAAUGCAACCAGCCUGGACUGAGGUCCGCGCAUCUGCUAGGAUGCUGGCGUAAUGGCUGUAAGCGGCCCGUCUUGAAACACGGACCAAGGAGUCUAACAUCUAUGCGAGUGUUUGGGUGUCAAGCCCGAGCGCGUAAUGAAAGUGAACGGAGGUGGGAACCUUUCGGGGUGCACCAUCGACCGAUCCUGAUGUCUUCGGAUGGAUUUGAGUAAGAGCAUAGCUGUUGGGACCCGAAAGAUGGUGAACUAUGCUUGAAUAGGGUGAAGCCAGAGGAAACUCUGGUGGAGGCUCGCAGCGGUUUCUGACGUGCAAAUCGAUCGUCAAAUUUGGGCAUAGGGGCGAAAGACUAAUCGAACUAUCUAGUAGCUGGUUCCUGCCGAAGU
Molecule: ribosomal RNA, 916 nt
Filed under: Boeremia exigua var. exigua
Lineage: Eukaryota; Fungi; Ascomycota; Dothideomycetes; Pleosporales; Didymellaceae
Description: LSU rRNA
Rfam family: Eukaryotic large subunit ribosomal RNA
Source: RNAcentral